RNAcentral lists this ribosomal RNA (520 nucleotides) under uncultured Glomeromycotina. RNAcentral's name for it is "SSU rRNA". It matches the Rfam family "Eukaryotic small subunit ribosomal RNA", at positions 569 to 1092 of the family's 1831-position model. The record is from RNAcentral. Lineage: Eukaryota; Fungi; Glomeromycota.
AGCAGCCGCGGUAAUUCCAGCUCCAAUAGCGUAUAUUAAAGUUGUUGCAGUUAAAAAGCUCGUAGUUGAAUUUCGGGAUUAGUACGCUGGUCAUGCCUUUGGUAUGUACUGGUGUUACUGGUUCCUACCUUCUGAAGAACCGUUAUGUCAUUUAUUUGGUGUGGCGGGGAAUCAGGACUGUUACUUUGAAAAAAUUAGAGUGUUUAAAGCAGGCUCGCGCUUGAAUACAUUAGCAUGGAAUAAUGAAAUAGGACGUUUGACCCUAUUUUGUUGGUUUCUAGGAUCGACGUAAUGAUUAAUAGGGAUAGUUGGGGGCAUUAGUAUUCAAUUGUCAGAGGUGAAAUUCUUGGAUUUAUUGAAGACUAACUACUGCGAAAGCAUUUGCCAAGGAUGUUUUCAUUAAUCAAGAACGAAAGUUAGGGGAUCGAAGACGAUCAGAUACCGUCGUAGUCUUAACCAUAAACUAUGCCGACUAGGGAUCGGAUGAUGUUAUUUUUAAUGACUCAUUCGGCGCCUUACG